CCUACGGGUGGCAGCAGUGGGGAAUAUUGGACAAUGGGCGAAAGCCUGAUCCAGCCAUGCCGCGUGUGUGAAGAAGGCCUUCGGGUUGUAAAGCACUUUCAGUGGGGAAGAAAGCCUUGGGGCUAAUACCCUCGAGGAAGGACAUCACCCACAGAAGAAGCACCGGCUAACUCCGCGCCAGCAGCCGCGGUAAUACGGAGGGUGCGAGCGUUAAUCGGAAUUACUGGGCGUAAAGCGCGCGUAGGCGGUCUGAUAAGCCGGUUGUGAAAGCCCCGGGCUCAACCUGGGAACGGCAUCCGGAACUGUCAGGCUAGAGUGCAGGAGAGGAAGGUAGAAUUCCCGGUGUAGCAGUGAAAUGCGUAGAGAUCGGGAGGAAUACCAGUGGCGAAGGCGGCCUUCUGGACUGACACUGACGCUGAGGUGCGAAAGCGUGGGUAGCAAACAGGAUUAGAUACCCGAGUAGUC
RNAcentral lists this ribosomal RNA (465 nucleotides) under Vreelandella stevensii. RNAcentral's name for it is "partial 16S ribosomal RNA". It matches the Rfam family "Bacterial small subunit ribosomal RNA", at positions 338 to 795 of the family's 1533-position model. The record is from RNAcentral. Lineage: Bacteria; Pseudomonadati; Pseudomonadota; Gammaproteobacteria; Oceanospirillales; Halomonadaceae.